Molecule: long non-coding RNA, 3958 nt
Organism: Magnolia sinica
Lineage: Eukaryota; Viridiplantae; Streptophyta; Magnoliopsida; Magnoliales; Magnoliaceae
Exons: 2
Source: RefSeq, a predicted model, not a curated record
AUAUAUGUAAAUGAAAGCUUGGUGCCUCCUUCUCCUUUCUCUCUGUGGUAAUUUCUUCUCUUCCCCUAAUCUCUUCUUCUUAUAAAUUUUGUUUCUAACCCUCCGACCUUCUUCUUCUCUUUCUAUGCCUAGUAUUCUUUGAUUGCUACUGUUUACAAUUAGAUUAUUUGAAGUCCCCUUACCCUGAAAAUUUGAGAAUUGAUCACAACCCUCUCUUAGAUUUUCCAGUUGUCCCUAUUCCAGAAAUCAUUUGAUUUCCUGGACUAGAAAAGCUACAUUGACUGUUGAAUUGAAAUCAUGCAAGAUCGGGAGGUCCCAUCCCUCGUCGGAUCUAAUCCACGCAUGAUUUGAAUACGGUACUGCAAGAUUGUGAUGAUGGUCUUCAACCAUUGCAUGUUUCCUUUGUUAUUGUCUUUAAUAUGAUGUGGAAUGUUGAAUAUUUCAAUUGAUUUGCUUAGUUUAUUUCACUGGAUAAUUUAUGUGCUCACUCAUGCAUUUUCGUUUAGACCGUCAUGCAUCAGUUGAUCUUUUUGUAUACUUUUGUAUAUUUAUGCAAUUGAUGCUAUAUAUAGCUUCACUUGUUAAGGUGUUUUUGCACACUGUGAUUCUUGAUAGCUCCUCAAUAGUCUAUAUUGUAAUGCUAUUUUGGUCUUUGUUUCUUUGCUAUUUCUGUGUGAGUAGGUUUAAAUUGAUGAGUAUGGGAAUCAGGAAGUUUGAUUUAUAUGUUGUGGAAUUUUAAUAGGUCCACUAUAUUGGAUGAAUAAUUACAAUUGGCUCUUUCAGUUUUACUGUGGUUUGGGAUUUUUUGCUUUGUUUUUCUCCUUGAUAUCUUACUGAAUUUGUUACAUUGAUUAAAUGUGGUAUGAUGGAUUUUAUUUAUCAAUGUUGAUCAAGUAAAUGCUCUUAUUAGACAUUGUCGCAGUUCUUGCCUGCCCUUAGCUUUAAUUGGUAUGUCUACUGAAUGUUGAUGAAGAGAUGUAUCUUGGCACAGUGGGGAUUGAUAUCUAGGAUCCUCUUUUUUGCAAACUAGCAAGUUGACAUCGUUCAAUAGGUUGGUGAAUUUUCAUACCUUUUCGGUCCCUUUUCCAUGAAGAUGGUUCUUCUUAUAUGAGAUGGGAUUCCAGAUUUCAUUUGAAAACAUUACAUGUUUAAAAUUUCCGCUGACAAUAAAAAUGGAAGAAUCCGAAGUUAAAAUAGAGAUGUAGCAAAUAUUUGGUGGGUAGAGAAGUACAGCAAAUUGCAUAUGGAAACAUCUAUAUUUGAUUAGGAGCUGGUUUUGGACUUGGACAGGUAAGAAAUCUUAUCCAAAACAUGUUAGAUGGUUCAGUGCAGUGCUUGUAGAGGGAUCGAGGUAUGGUUCGAAAACCAGGUUGAUUGGUGCAACGUAGGAGGCUGAUUGCACAAAUCAGUCAUCUAAUCCACAUAAUCCUAAACACAACGUUAAAAAUUCCAUUAAAAGGAGACGAAGGAGAAGGAAACACUAGCAAAAGGUGGAGAUUACCUCUAGGAUUUUGAUAACCACACCCUACAAGAGAAGACCCUCUCAAAAACUUUUAUUUUUUCUACUGGAUUUUAUUAAAACAAAGUCACUCCAAAUGCAGCAGGUAAAAAGCAGAGAUGUUGAGCUAUCAUUCCCAAAGGAGCCAAGGUAUUAAAAAACAGUUACUAAUAAGGAUGCGUUGAUUGCAGAAGUGAAGAAAUAAGCAUCUGUAGCCCCACUGUGCGAGCAGGGAUCUAAGGGGUUCCUUGGCAAUUGACAGUUCAGUCAGCAGUGAGUUCUGAUACAGAGAUUCCUCUGAACUUGGGCAAGUGCACAUCCCAGUCCACCACCAUUAACUGAACUGCUGUAAUCAAGCAUUCCACCCUAGCUUCUUUGCCUUCUACGAUCUGCCUUCUUCCAGAUUGGCCACAUAAUAGCAAAUGACACAAUUUUCCUAAGGAUAGAACCUCUAGGAGAGAAGUGACCUUUCCCCCAUCCAUCAAACAGAUCUAAAAAGGUGGCAUCAGUCAUCAAAUAAAGAACACAUCUGCUGAGUAUAAACUUCCUUGAACAGCUGUCCGCUUUGCAAUGAAGAAAAAGGUGAUUGCCCGACUUUUCCUCCUCUCACAUCAAACACCUGUUUGGAACUGCCAUAUUACUUUUCUUAAGGUCAUCAGCUGUGAGCACUCUGUUUGCCAUUGCAAUCCUCAGUGGCACAUUCAUGACCCACAGUCUAGUGAGCAGAGAUGGAGCAUCAUUGAUAGAGAUUCUUGACCCAUGUUUUAGCAAGCUGAUAUGGAGUCCAAAAAAGACUUUGGAGAGAAGUGGUAGUCCUUUGUACAUUUCCAAACUUUCCUAUUGGCUUUGGAACUAACCACGUGUAUUAUAGAGCUUCUCCAUCGGCCUUCUAAAGGAUGCAACUUUCUCCUCAUAGAGAUUCUGACACAUAGUCACAUUCCAAUGUACCGCACCACCAUUGGUAUCAUAGCAUCCUGCAAUCAAUGCAUCCUUAUUAGUGGACAGCUUGAAGAGAGUGGCGAAAGACUCUGCUAGAGUGGUAUUGUGAACAAAAGGAUCAUGCCAGAAUCUCAAUCUCUCGCGAUGACCCGAGAGUAUUGGAUUCCUCCACUGAGCAGGCCGCCCAUUCUUUGGGAGAUAUUGCAACUUACAACGAGGUUUGCUCUUCCCAACCUAUGGCUUUCUACCCAUCUGAAGGUCUGUUCCUCUUAGGAUUUCCAGGAAAGCAACCCCCUUCAGAUGCACCAUAUUUCCAAUGGAUCACAGAUUUCCAUAGCACUUCUUGCUCUUCACUAAACCGCCACCAGCAUCUGCUCAGAAGGGCCCAGAUUUUUCUCUCUCACAUCUCCCACUCCCAACCCUCUCAUUUCUCUUUGAUUUUUUGCACUUCCAUUCAAUAAGGAGGGUUUCACGGCCCUCAUUUUCUUUCUCGUGGAAAAUCCCUUUCAACUUUUAAGUGUUACUUUGCUAUCUUCAGCAGCAUCCUGUAGAGAUAAGACACUGGGAGAUUUGCCAGAGCCAAUUUAAUUACUACAAUUGUGCCUCCAAAUGAUCAAUAGAUUUUCUUCACCUGCCAUUCUUUUCUGUAUCCUUUCAACCAUAGGGUUUCAAAGACCCUGAAUUCAAGUGUUUGCCACCUUGAGGCAGCCCAAGAUAUUUAAUUGGAAGGCUGUCUUUCCUGCAUCCCAUCCUGUUCGCCAACUCCUCAAUACAUCCCUCGCUGGUCUCAACUCCAGCUUUUACACUUCUCCUAACAUUAAUCUGAAGCCCCGAUUCAACCUCAAAACAUCUAAGAAUUCCUUUCAAGUACUUUACUUGAACCAAAUCUGCAUUGCAUGAGACAAGCAUAUCAAUGCGAAACUGAAGGUGGGAGAUAGACAAACUAAUGCCUGAGCCUUUAAUGAAUCCAAGGUUAGCUGCUUUUCCCAAGUGCAUUUCCAAGCUCUCGUCCACAAGCUGGGGAUAGAGGGUCACCUCACCAGAACCUUCAAGAACUCAAGAGCAAUAUGGAGACCCAUUGACCCAUUAGAGAACACUGCUGAUGAGAUGCAGCCCUUGAUCCACCUAAUCCACUUCACUCUGCUAACCCCAUCCUUGCAUGGAAUAAAGAAGGAAAUCCUAGUCCACAUGGUCAUAUGCUUUCUCCAUGUCAACUUUACACAAUGUCGGCUUCCCCCCCUCGUCAAAUCAAUGCAUUCCUCACAUAUGUGGCCCUGGUUGGAACAUGUUUAGACCACUGGAUAAAUUAUUGGGGGCUAGAUCAGCCCUUGAGCUGCAUCAUUGAUUUGAAUCCAAGUCACCAAGUUUGACUUGAGUUGUGCCUUGGAGAGGCUUGGUAUUACUUCAAUAUGAACUCGACCCUAAAUGAAUGAUUUAUUACACUUCGAUACUUAUACCUUCUUUUUUUUUUUUUGAAAGAUACUGAAUUUAUUGAAGCCGAAAAAAAAAGAAGGAAACAAA